AUGGACCAGGCAUCAACAUGUGUGCUAGAAGUUAGGAUAUGUAGCAGUCGCCGUAACUUCAGCGGAGGUUUUUCCUUCAGUUGGAGCAUUGAUUUGCAUGCUAUCACUACUAUGAAGGGGUUUCUAGAUGCUAUUUCUGCACAGUACUCUUGGGUUGUGUGGUCUGAUGAUGAAACUAUCAUUGUAGAAUGGUUUGAUAGUAUUAGUGAGAAAUACAAACCUGUUGCAAAUGAUGAAGAGUUGAUGACAAUGUUUGAGUGUUUUAAGCAAGUUAGACAUGGCAAAGUAGCACUUAAAGUUUUAAAUGAACAUGAAAAAAGGGAUGAGUUAAAUGCUGAUAUGCCAUCUACUCCUUCACAUGCAACACCUUCUCUAGCACUGCCUAGUCAGCCAAGUAAUGUCAGUGAAGAAACUGAAGAACCUACGGAUACAUAUCUAGCGAAUCCACACGAGGAAUAUGAACAUGUAGGUGUUGAUGAGGAAGACCAGUACUCAAUUGGUAGUGCUUGCUCGGAUUCCGAUAGUAGUGAGGAUGAGCUUGAUAAUGUUGUAGUUGAUGUGGACGGUGUUGAGGACAGCAGUGAUGAUGAGGAGUGGAUUGUAGAAGAUGCUAUACCGGAUGAUGCUCCUCCG
This 633-nucleotide ribosomal RNA is filed under the name Triticum aestivum (bread wheat). RNAcentral describes it as "partial small subunit ribosomal RNA". Lineage: Eukaryota; Viridiplantae; Streptophyta; Magnoliopsida; Poales; Poaceae. The record is from RNAcentral.